This is a long non-coding RNA of Nematolebias whitei (Rio pearlfish), 167 nucleotides long. RefSeq lists it as uncharacterized. The record is from RefSeq and is a predicted model, not a curated record. The transcript has 3 exons. NCBI's taxonomy places the organism in Eukaryota, Metazoa, Chordata, Actinopteri, Cyprinodontiformes, Rivulidae.
UACAGGAUUAACAGAACUUUACGCUCUGGUCACUAUUCCAGAUGGCACAAACCUGGAUGACCCCGUCUACUCGAUCAUACCUGAUUUACCACAGAGUAAAAACGAACUGAUUCAUCGCAGCUGAAUGACAACACAUACUUCUUGUUGGAAAAAAUCCAAAGCACCAG